UGACACAUGUUAAACGGCCGCGGUACCCUGACCGUGCAAAGGUAGCAUAAUCACUUGUUCUCUAAAUAGGGACUUGUAUGAAUGGCCACACGAGGGUUUAACUGUCUCUUACUUUUAAUCAGUGAAAUUGACCUAUCCGUGAAGAGGCGGAUAUACACUAAUAAGACGAGAAGACCCUAUGGAGCUUCAAUUUAAUAGCACAAACUAACACCUUAAAAACCCACAGGCAUUAAAACACCGUCCAUGCGCUAUAAAUUUCGGUUGGGGUGACCUCGGAGUACAACAUAACCCCCGAGAUACAAGUAUACCAAGACCUCACCAGUCUAAGUAAACCAAUAUCUACUGACCCAAUAACUUGAUCAACGGACCAAGUUACCCUAGGGAUAACAGCGCAAUCCUAUUAUAGAGUCCAUAUCGACAAUAGGGUUUACGACCUCGAUGUUGGAUCAAGACAUCCUAGUGGUGUAGCCGCUACUAAGGGU
Molecule: ribosomal RNA, 482 nt
Filed under: Cheracebus lugens (black titi)
Lineage: Eukaryota; Metazoa; Chordata; Mammalia; Primates; Pitheciidae
Description: partial large subunit ribosomal RNA
Rfam family: Bacterial large subunit ribosomal RNA
Source: RNAcentral